Molecule: unclassified non-coding RNA, 212 nt
Filed under: uncultured Russulaceae
Lineage: Eukaryota; Fungi; Basidiomycota; Agaricomycetes; Russulales; Russulaceae
Description: sequence contains ITS1
Source: RNAcentral
UCGUAACAAACACCUGGGAGGUGCUCAAAGGCUGUCGCCGACUCGAAAGGGUUGUGCACGCCAGAGGGCAUCCUCUCGUGUGAAAUCCAUCUCACCCUUUUGUGCACCACCGCGUGGGCCCCCUCCUCGAGGGGGCUCGCGUUUUCACACAAACCCCCCUUUGUAAACCUACAUAGAAUGAAUCCACUUUUUGCGUUGACACGCGAUAAAUA